GACGAACGCUGGCGGCGUGCUUAACACAUGCAAGUCGAACGGAAAGGCCCUGCUUUUGUGGGGUGCUCGAGUGGCGAACGGGUGAGUAACACGUGAGUAACCUGCCCUUGACUUUGGGAUAACUUCAGGAAACGGGGGCUAAUACCGGAUAGGAGCUCCUGCUGCAUGGUGGGGGGUGGAAAGUUUCGGCGGUUGGGGAUGGACUCGCGGCUUAUCAGCUUGUUGGUGGGGUAGUGGCUUACCAAGGCUUUGACGGGUAGCCGGCCUGAGAGGGUGACCGGCCACAUUGGGACUGAGAUACGGCCCAGACUCCUACGGGAGGCAGCAGUGGGGAAUAUUGCACAAUGGGCGGAAGCCUGAUGCAGCAACGCCGCGUGCGGGAUGACGGCCUUCGGGUUGUAAACCGCUUUCGCCUGUGACGAAGCGUGAGUGACGGUAAUGGGUAAAGAAGCACCGGCUAACUACGUG
RNAcentral lists this ribosomal RNA (468 nucleotides) under uncultured bacterium. RNAcentral describes it as "partial 16S ribosomal RNA". It matches the Rfam family "Bacterial small subunit ribosomal RNA", at positions 28 to 507 of the family's 1533-position model. The record is from RNAcentral.